Molecule: ribosomal RNA, 450 nt
Filed under: uncultured Glomeromycotina
Lineage: Eukaryota; Fungi; Glomeromycota
Description: SSU rRNA
Rfam family: Eukaryotic small subunit ribosomal RNA
Source: RNAcentral
AGCAGCCGCGGUAAUUCCAGCUCCAAUAGCGUAUAUUAAAGUUGUUGCAGUUAAAAAGCUCGUAGUUGAAUUUCGGGACCAAUAUGUCGGUCGUGCUUCGGUACGUACUUGCAUUAUUGGUUUCUCCCUUCUGAAGAACCAUGAUGUCAUUAAUUUGGUGUCUUGGGGAAUCAGGACUGUUACUUUGAAAAAAUUAGAGUGUUUAAAGCAGGCUCACGCUUGAAUACAUUAGCAUGGAAUAAUGAAAUAGGACGUUUGAUUCUACUUUGUUGGUUUCUAGGAUCGACGUAAUGAUUAAUAGGGAUAGUUGGGGGCAUUAGUAUUCAAUUGUCAGAGGUGAAAUUCUUGGAUUUAUUGAAGACUAACUACUGCGAAAGCAUUUGCCAAGGAUGUUUUCAUUAAUCAAGAACGAAAGUUAGGGGAUCGAAGACGAUCAGAUACCGUCGUAGU